Diceros bicornis minor is the source of this 496-nucleotide long non-coding RNA. RefSeq lists it as uncharacterized. The transcript is spliced from 3 exons. NCBI's taxonomy places the organism in Eukaryota, Metazoa, Chordata, Mammalia, Perissodactyla, Rhinocerotidae. The record is from RefSeq and is a predicted model, not a curated record.
AGAUCAGUGAAGCAAAGAAAUGUGCUGAAGAAAAAAAGAGGGAAAACAAAGCACAUAAAUUUAAGGUCAUCAUGGAGGCAAGAGGGCCUCCUCCACUCAAAAACCACCCGGCGUUGCCAUCCCCAUGGGCUCUGGGCCGCACGCAUCUCCUUCACACUGAAGGCCUGUGAAACUUCAACCGUUGCCUCCACCUCUACCGAUUGGACAAUCCUUUUGAAGGGAGGACCCUGUGCCAUCAUAAACAGGCCAUGGCAGUUUCCUAUGUUCUGGAUGCUUCCCUGCCCAAUCCUGCCCCUCCGCUUUUGUAUUUCCUGUUGUCACCCCUAUUACACCCUUUACAGUUUGAACUCAGGAUCAGCAUCUGCUUCUCGGAGGACCAACCGACUCACCCCAGGGAGUGUGCUGAGUGUGACUCGUACACUCAGUUCAAAAACAGGCAAAAACCACAGUGAUGGGGCAGAAGAAAGGUUAUUCCUUGGGGGCAGUAUUGCCUGCU